RNAcentral lists this ribosomal RNA (468 nucleotides) under uncultured bacterium. Its description in RNAcentral is "partial 16S ribosomal RNA". It matches the Rfam family "Bacterial small subunit ribosomal RNA", at positions 28 to 507 of the family's 1533-position model. The record is from RNAcentral.
GACGAACGCUGGCGGCGUGCUUAACACAUGCAAGUCGAACGGAAAGGCCCUGCUCUUGUGGGGUGCUCGAGUGGCGAACGGGUGAGUAACACGUGAGUAACCUGCCCUUGACUUUGGGAUAACUUCAGGAAACUGGGGCUAAUACCGGAUAGGAGCUCCUGCUGCAUGGUGGGGGUUGGAAAGUUUCGGCGGUUGGGGAGGGACUCGCGGCUUAUCAGCUUGUUGGGGGGGUAGUGGCUUUCCAAGGCUUUGAAGGGUAGCCGGCCUGAGCGGGUGACCGGCCACAUUGGGACUGAGAUACGGCACAGACUCCUACGGGAGGCAGCAGUGGGGAAUAUUGCACAAUGGGCGGAAGCCUGAUGCAGCAACGCCGCGUGCGGGAUGACGGCCUUCGGGUUGUAAACCGCUUUCGCCUGUGACGAAGCGUGAGUGACGGUAAUGGGUAAAGAAGCACCGGCUAACUACGUG